AUUCUAAUAGCUUAUUUAGAGCAUAAUAUUGAAGAUAUUAAGGAAAUUUUUAUUUUAGAAUA
Molecule: transfer RNA, 62 nt
Filed under: Pyrocoelia thibetana
Lineage: Eukaryota; Metazoa; Arthropoda; Insecta; Coleoptera; Lampyridae
Also listed under: 1 other name
Description: tRNA-Phe
Source: RNAcentral